UACGUCGGGUGCGAGCGUUGUCCGGAAUUAUUGGGCGUAAAGGGCUCGUAGGCGGUCUGUUGCGUCAGGAGUGAAAACUCGGGGCUUAACCCCGAGCCUGCUUCUGAUACGGGCAGACUAGAGGUAUGCAGGGGAGAACGGAAUUCCUGGUGUAGCGGUGAAAUGCGCAGAUAUCAGGAGGAACACCGGUGGCGAAGGCGGUUCUCUGGGCAUUACCUGACGCUGAGGAGCGAAAGUGUGGGGAGCGAACAGG
This 253-nucleotide ribosomal RNA is filed under the name uncultured bacterium. Its description in RNAcentral is "partial 16S ribosomal RNA". It matches the Rfam family "Bacterial small subunit ribosomal RNA", at positions 524 to 776 of the family's 1533-position model. The record is from RNAcentral.